Molecule: non-coding RNA, 325 nt
Filed under: Scleropages formosus (Asian bonytongue)
Lineage: Eukaryota; Metazoa; Chordata; Actinopteri; Osteoglossiformes; Osteoglossidae
Description: Eukaryotic small subunit ribosomal RNA
Rfam family: Eukaryotic small subunit ribosomal RNA
Source: Rfam by way of RNAcentral
CACAGACUGAGUGGGGAUCGAAAUUAUGCCCAAUGGCAUGGCCCAGGCACUGAGGCACUUGCUACCCGCUGUACCACUGUGCUGCUCCGACAUGGUGAGUGGACCUGAAAAACGGUUACGACAUUUAAGGAAGGCAGCAGAUGCACAUAAAUAAUCCAUUCUUGAUACAGGGAGGUAGUGUCAAAAAAUAAGGACACAGGUACCUUCUGAGUCCCUGUCAGUGCAAUGAAUGCACUUUAAGUACACUUUAAAUCCUUUAAUAUUAAUCCAUUUGCGGGAAAGUCUGGUCCCACCAGCCAUGGAAAUUCAAGCUCCAAUAGUUUAU